GACGAACGCUGGCGGCGUGCUUAACACAUGCAAGUCGAACGGAAAGGCCCUGCUUUUGUGGGGUGCUCGAGUGGCGAACGGGUGAGUAACACGUGAGUAACCUGCCCUUGACUUUGGGAUAACUUCAGGAAACUGGGGCUAAUACCGGAUAGGAGCUCCUGCUGCGUGUUGGGGGUUGGAAAGUUUCGGCGGUUGGGGAUGGACUCGCGGCUUAUCAGCUUGUUGGUGGGGUAGUGGCUUACCAAGGCUUUGACGGGUAGCCGGCCUGAGAGGGGGACCGGCCACAUUGGGACUGAGAUAGGGACCAGACGCCUACGGGAGGCAGCAGGGGAGAAUAUUGCACAAUGGGGGGAAGCCUGAUGCGGAAACGCCGCGUGCGGGAUGCCGGCCUUCGGGUUGUAAACCGCUUUCGCAGGUGACGAAGCGUGAGUGACGGUAAUGGGUAAAGAAGCACCGGCUAACUACGUG
This 468-nucleotide ribosomal RNA is filed under the name uncultured bacterium. RNAcentral describes it as "partial 16S ribosomal RNA". It matches the Rfam family "Bacterial small subunit ribosomal RNA", at positions 28 to 507 of the family's 1533-position model. The record is from RNAcentral.